ACUAACAAGGAUUCCCCUAGUAACUGCGAGUGAAGCGGGAAAAGCUCAAAUUUAAAAUCUGGCGGUCUUUGGCCGUCCGAGUUGUAAUCUAGAGAAGUAAUGCCCGUGCUGGACCGUGUAUAAGUCUCCUGGGAUGGGGCGUCAUAGAGGGUGAGAAUCCCGUCUUUGACACGGACUACCAGUGCAUUGUGGUAUGCUCUCAAAGAGUCGAGUUGUUUGGGAAUGCAGCUCAAAAUGGGUGGUAAAUUCCAUCUAAAGCUAAAUAUUGGCGAGAGACCGAUAGCGAACAAGUACCGUGAGGGAAAGAUGAAAAGAACUUUGGAAAGAGAGUUAAACAGUACGUGAAAUUGCUGAAAGGGAAACGCUUGAAGUCAGUCGCGUUGGCCGGGGAUCAGCCUUGCUUUUUGCAUGGUGUACUUUCUGGUUGACGGGUCAGCAUCAAUUUUGACCACUGGAAAAGGCUCAAGGGAAUGUGGCAGCUUCGGCUGUGUUAUAGCCCCUGUUCACAUACAGUGGUCGGGAUUGAGGAACUCAGCACGCCGCAAGGCCGGGUUUCGACCACGUUCGUGCUUAGGAUGCUGGCAUAAUGGCUUUAAGCGACCCGUCUUGAAACACGGACCAAGGAGUCUAACAUGCCUGCGAGUAUUUGGGUGGAAAACCCAAGUGCGCAAUGAAAGUGAAAGUUGAGAUCCCUGUCGUGGGGAGCAUCGACGCCCGGACCAGAACUUUUGGGACGGAUCCGCGGUGGAGCAUGUAUGUUGGGACCCGAAAGAUGGUGAACUAUGCCUGAAUAGGGUGAAGCCAGAGGAAACUCUGGUGGAGGCUCGUAGCGAUUCUGACGUGCAAAUCGAUCGUCAAAUUUGGGUAUAGGGGC
Molecule: ribosomal RNA, 874 nt
Filed under: Agaricus basicingulatus
Lineage: Eukaryota; Fungi; Basidiomycota; Agaricomycetes; Agaricales; Agaricaceae
Description: Agaricus sp. BOS-2020b partial large subunit ribosomal RNA
Rfam family: Eukaryotic large subunit ribosomal RNA
Source: RNAcentral